GCGAGCGUAGUUCAAUGGUAGAACAAUAGCCUUCCAAGCUAUAUAUGUCGGUUCGAUUCCGAUCGCUCGCUCCA
RNAcentral lists this transfer RNA (74 nucleotides) under Deltaproteobacteria bacterium. RNAcentral's name for it is "tRNA-Gly". It matches the Rfam family "tRNA". Rfam says of the family: Transfer RNA (tRNA) molecules are approximately 80 nucleotides in length. Their secondary structure includes four short double-helical elements and three loops (D, anti-codon, and T loops). Further hydrogen bonds mediate the characteristic L-shaped molecular structure. tRNAs have two regions of fundamental functional importance: the anti-codon, which is responsible for specific mRNA codon recognition, and the 3' end, to which the tRNAs corresponding amino acid is attached (by aminoacyl-tRNA synthetases). tRNAs cope with the degeneracy of the genetic code in two manners: having more than one tRNA (with a specific anti-codon) for a particular amino acid; and 'wobble' base-pairing, i.e. permitting non-standard base-pairing at the 3rd anti-codon position. Lineage: Bacteria; Pseudomonadati; Myxococcota; Myxococcia. The record is from RNAcentral. RNAcentral also lists the same sequence under 1 other name.